AGGACGAACGCUGGCGGCGUGCUUAACACAUGCAAGUCGAGCGAGGCCUCCCCUUCGGGGGAGUGCCCUAGCGGCGAACGGGUGAGUAACACGUGGGCAACCUGCCCCUAGCACUGGGAUAACUCCGGGAAACCGGGGCUAAUACCGGAUAUGACCUUUGAGGGCAUCCUCUUUGGUGUAAAGGAUUCUGGCUAGGGAUGGGCCCGCGGCCUAUCAGCUUGUUGGUGGGGUAAUGGCCUACCAAGGCGACGACGGGUAGCCGGCCUGAGAGGGCGACCGGCCACACUGGGACUGAGACACGGCCCAGACUCCUACGGGAGGCAGCAGUGGGGAAUAUUGCACAAUGGGCGAAAGCCUGAUGCAGCGACGCCGCGUGAGGGAUGACGGCCUUCGGUUGUAAACCUCUUUCAGUACCGACGAAGCGAAAGUGACGGUAGGUACAGAAGAAGCACCGGCCAACUACGCGCCAGCAGCCGC
This 477-nucleotide ribosomal RNA is filed under the name uncultured bacterium. Its description in RNAcentral is "SSU rRNA". It matches the Rfam family "Bacterial small subunit ribosomal RNA", at positions 26 to 518 of the family's 1533-position model. The record is from RNAcentral.